AAGUCGUAACAAGGUAACCGUAGGUGAACCUGCGGUUGGAUCAUUAACACAAAGUCGGUGCUGCCAAGUUCCUGGCAAGUCUUUCGGGAUUUGCCAGAAACUUGGAUGUGCAUCACAACCACACCUUUUUGUGCACACUGUAUUUUCAUUCUUUUCAGCAGGUGUCUCGAUGGUUUGAACAUUUUCGGAUGUUUGACACCUUCGAAAUACCUGGUGAGAGGUUUGAAAGUAUAUCAACCAAACCUAAGUGUAUCUUAUGUCUGAACUUUUUGUAUAAAAACAAUUUACAAAACAA
This 295-nucleotide unclassified non-coding RNA is filed under the name plant metagenome. Its description in RNAcentral is "partial contains small subunit ribosomal RNA and internal transcribed spacer 1". The stretch from base 1 to 46 matches the Rfam family "Eukaryotic small subunit ribosomal RNA", at positions 1786 to 1831 of the family's 1831-position model. The record is from RNAcentral.